UCUCCAAUAGCUCAGCUCAGUUGGUAGAGCAGAGGACUGUAGAUCCUUAGGUCGCUGGUUCAACUCCGGCUCGAAGGA
This 78-nucleotide transfer RNA is filed under the name Merluccius polli (Benguela hake). Its description in RNAcentral is "tRNA-Tyr". The stretch from base 14 to 70 matches the Rfam family "tRNA", at positions 9 to 63 of the family's 71-position model. Rfam says of the family: Transfer RNA (tRNA) molecules are approximately 80 nucleotides in length. Their secondary structure includes four short double-helical elements and three loops (D, anti-codon, and T loops). The record is from RNAcentral. Lineage: Eukaryota; Metazoa; Chordata; Actinopteri; Gadiformes; Merlucciidae.